Molecule: ribosomal RNA, 497 nt
Filed under: uncultured bacterium
Lineage: Bacteria
Description: partial 16S ribosomal RNA
Rfam family: Bacterial small subunit ribosomal RNA
Source: RNAcentral
GAUGAACGCUGGCGGCGUGCCUAAUACAUGCAAGUCGAGCGAACAGACGAGGAGCUUGCUCCUUCGACGUUAGCGGCGGACGGGUGAGUAACACGUAGGUAACCUACCUAUAAGACUGGGAUAACUUCGGGAAACCGGAGCUAAUACCGGAUAAUAUUUCGAACCGCAUGGUUCGAUAGUGAAAGAUGGCUUUGCUAUCACUUAUAGAUGGACCUGCGCCGUACUAGCUAGUUGGUAAGGUAACGGCUUACCAAGGCAACGAUACGUAGCCGACCUGAGAGGGUGAUCGGCCACACUGGAACUGAGACACGGUCCAGACUCCUACGGGAGGCAGCAGUAGGGAAUCUUCCGCAAUGGGCGAAAGCCUGACGGAGCAACGCCGCGUGAGUGAUGAAGGUCUUCGGAUCGUAAAACUCUGUUAUUAGGGAAGAACAAACGUGUAAGUAACUGUGCACGUCUUGACGGUACCUAAUCAGAAAGCCACGGCUAACUACGUG